This is a long non-coding RNA of Neopsephotus bourkii (Bourke's parrot), 908 nucleotides long. RefSeq lists it as uncharacterized. The record is from RefSeq and is a predicted model, not a curated record. NCBI's taxonomy places the organism in Eukaryota, Metazoa, Chordata, Aves, Psittaciformes, Psittacidae. The transcript is spliced from 5 exons.
AGCUUGUUCAGUUAUUAAACAGAGGGCUCGAUUGCAGGAGGAGCUUCAGCAUCCCCUGUACUCAGCGUGGCUCUAUCCCUGAGGCUUGCCCUCAAAUCCAUAAGGGGCAGCAGAACUAACCAGCCACUGAAGCCAGCAGUCCCGGUGUUGUGGUCCAUCUCCCUGCCAGCUUUCCUCACCCGUUUGGAGAUCCAAUGAUUCGUGAAGACCUCAAUUAAUUUGGGAAAGGGAAUAAAACAGCGUUAAACGUGACGAAUCUCCCGCUGCUGCCAACCCCACAGUCAUUUCCGGACUCUUCCAGCUGGAUUUGUGGAUGGAAUCCUUGAACUUCUCUGCUGACUGGCAUCAUUACAAGCCCCAUGUUGUCCUAAGUGGGGAGAGAAGGGGACCAAGAAGACAUUGAGAGACCUCUGGAGCAAAGCGAUGCGGGCUGUAGAUCUAUAGAUUAAAGCGAGGGUGAAGGCCAAGUGCCAAGUGGUUGUGUCACUUGCAAGAGCCAGGGCCAGGAGCUGGGCUUAGCAGCACAAGUCUUUCCAUUGCUGGUUCAUUCACUUCUGCUGCUCAGGAGGGCAAAACCACAAGAGGAUGGUUGAAGUCAGGCAUCCAACAUCCCACUUCCCACCAGGAUCCCAGUUGGUGCUUGCUGGACAAGGACCUGCACCAGGAGAAGGGUUUGCUGAGAGAGGAAAAGCGCAUCCGGGAUGGUUUUCACACCCCAGGAAAGCCAAGCAGAAAGCUCCUCGAGGGUGGCCGACUUUCCAUAGCUGCUUUCCAGGGGGAUUUCUUCCCCAUUCCUCUGAGCAGCUCUAUUCACAGUAUUCCCAUAGCCAGGAGCAACAGCCUACAUCCCUGCAGCCGUCUGGAGGGGAGCUGUAAGGAAUCACAGCCCUGAUGUACCAAAGGUGAGU